This 196-nucleotide ribosomal RNA is filed under the name uncultured bacterium. RNAcentral's name for it is "partial 16S ribosomal RNA". It matches the Rfam family "Bacterial small subunit ribosomal RNA", at positions 337 to 524 of the family's 1533-position model. The record is from RNAcentral.
UCCUACGGGAGGCAGCAGUAGGGAAUCUUCCGCAAUGGACGAAAGUCUGACGGAGCAACGCCGCGUGAGUGAUGAAGGUUUUCGGAUCGUAAAGCUCUGUUGUUAGGGAAGAACAAGUACCGUUCGAAUAGGGCGGUACCUUGACGGUACCUAACCAGAAAGCCACGGCUAACUACGUGCCAGCAGCCGCGGUAAU